AACGAACGCUGGCGGCAGGCUUAACACAUGCAAGUCGAACGCAUCCUUCGGGGUGAGUGGCAGACGGGUGAGUAACGCGUGGGAACGUGCCCUUCAGUUCGGGAUAACCCAGGGAAACUUGGGCUAAUACCGGAUACGUGCGAGAGCAGAAAGAUUUAUCGCUGGAGGAUCGGCCCGCGUCUGAUUAGCUAGUUGGUGGGGUAAUGGCCCACCAAGGCGACGAUCAGUAGCUGGUCUGAGAGGAUGAUCAGCCGCAUUGGGACUGAGACACGGACCAACCUCCUACGGGAGGCGGCAGUGGGUAAUAUAGGAUAAUGGGCGCAAGCCUGAACCAGCGAUGCCGAGUGAGUGAUGAAGGCCUUAGGGUUGUAAAGCUCUUUCGUCCGGGACGAUAAUGACGGUACCGGAAGAAGAAGCCCCGGCUAACUUCGUGCCAGCAGCCGCCGUAA
RNAcentral lists this ribosomal RNA (449 nucleotides) under uncultured bacterium. RNAcentral describes it as "partial 16S ribosomal RNA". It matches the Rfam family "Bacterial small subunit ribosomal RNA", at positions 29 to 523 of the family's 1533-position model. The record is from RNAcentral.